ACUAUUUGACCCUGGUAGAGCAAAAAGCGGAGCUAGUAAAGCUACAUACGAUUAUUAUAUUUAUAAUAGUGGUGGUAUACGGAAAUUGACAAGUUUUGUUUAGUGUAGUAGUUAAGACUGUAAAUUAUAAAGGAAUUUAAUAAUGGUUACUAGUUAAAGAAGAGACUAAAGCACAGUGCCAGCAGUCGCGGUUAAACUGU
RNAcentral lists this ribosomal RNA (200 nucleotides) under Schistosoma spindalis. RNAcentral describes it as "Schistosoma spindale partial 12S ribosomal RNA". Lineage: Eukaryota; Metazoa; Platyhelminthes; Trematoda; Strigeidida; Schistosomatidae. The record is from RNAcentral.